UACGAAGGGGGCUAGCGUUGCUCGGAAUUACUGGGCGUAAAGGGCGCGUAGGCGGACAGUUUAGUCAGAGGUGAAAGCCCGAGGCUCAACCUCGGAACUGCCUUCGAUACUGCGGGUCUCGAGUCCGGGAGAGGUGAGUGGAAUUCCUAGUGUAGAGGUGAAAUUCGUAGAUAUUAGGAAGAACACCAGUGGCGAAGGCGGCUCACUGGCCCGGUACUGACGCUGAGGCGCGAAAGCGUGGGGAGCAAACAGG
RNAcentral lists this ribosomal RNA (253 nucleotides) under uncultured bacterium. Its description in RNAcentral is "partial 16S ribosomal RNA". It matches the Rfam family "Bacterial small subunit ribosomal RNA", at positions 524 to 776 of the family's 1533-position model. The record is from RNAcentral.